GAGUUUGAUCGUGGCUCAGGAUGAACGCUGGCGGCGUGCCUAAUACAUGCAAGUCGAGCGAACGGACGAGAAGCUUGCUUCUCUGAUGUUAGCGGCGGACGGGUGAGUAACACGUGGAUAACCUACCUAUAAGACUGGGAUAACUUCGGGAAACCGGAGCUAAUACCGGAUAAUAUUUUGAACCGCAUGGUUCAAAAGUGAAAGACGGUCUUGCUGUCACUUAUAGAUGGAUCCGCGCUGCAUUAGCUAGUUGGUAAGGUAACGGCUUACCAAGGCAACGAUGCAUAGCCGACCUGAGAGGGUGAUCGGCCACACUGGAACUGAGACACGGUCCAGACUCCUACGGGAGGCAGCAGUAGGGAAUCUUCCGCAAUGGGCGAAAGCCUGACGGAGCAACGCCGCGUGAGUGAUGAAGGUCUUCGGAUCGUAAAACUCUGUUAUUAGGGAAGAACAUAUGUGUAAGUAACUGUGCACAUCUUGACGGUACCUAAUCAGAAAGCC
Molecule: ribosomal RNA, 501 nt
Filed under: uncultured microorganism
Description: bacterial SSU rRNA
Rfam family: Bacterial small subunit ribosomal RNA
Source: RNAcentral